GAUGAACGCUGGCGGCGUGCCUAAUACAUGCAAGUCGAGCGAACAGAUGAGAAGCUUGCUUCUCUGAUGUUAGCGGCGGACGGGUGAGUAACACGUGGGUAACCUACCUAUAAGACUGGGAUAACUCCGGGAAACCGGGGCUAAUACCGGAUAAUAUUUUGAACCGCAUGGUUCAAUAGUGAAAGACGGUUUCGGCUGUCACUUAUAGAUGGACCCGCGCCGUAUUAGCUAGUUGGUAAGGUAACGGCUUACCAAGGCGACGAUACGUAGCCGACCUGAGAGGGUGAUCGGCCACACUGGAACUGAGACACGGUCCAGACUCCUACGGGAGGCAGCAGUAGGGAAUCUUCCGCAAUGGGCGAAAGCCUGACGGAGCAACGCCGCGUGAGUGAUGAAGGUCUUCGGAUCGUAAAACCCUGUUGUUAGGGAAGAACAAAUUUGUUAGUAACUGAACAAGUCUUGACGGUACCUAACCAGAAAGCCACGGCUAACUACGUGCCAGCCGCCGCAGUAU
This 514-nucleotide ribosomal RNA is filed under the name uncultured bacterium. RNAcentral's name for it is "partial 16S ribosomal RNA". It matches the Rfam family "Bacterial small subunit ribosomal RNA", at positions 28 to 523 of the family's 1533-position model. The record is from RNAcentral.